RNAcentral lists this ribosomal RNA (315 nucleotides) under uncultured eukaryote. RNAcentral's name for it is "partial 18S ribosomal RNA". It matches the Rfam family "Eukaryotic small subunit ribosomal RNA", at positions 1470 to 1796 of the family's 1831-position model. The record is from RNAcentral.
CCCUUAGACGUUCUGGGCCGCACGCGCGCUACACUGACCAGUGCAACAAGCAUCCGUCCUUGGCCGACAGGCCCGGGCAAUCUUUGAACGCUGGUCGUGAUGGGGAUAGACUUUUGCAAUUUUUGGUCUUCAACGAGGAAUUCCUAGUAAACGCAAGUCAUCAACUUGCAUUGAUUACGUCCCUGCCCUUUGUACACACCGCCCGUCGCACCUACCGAUUGAAUGGUCCGGUGAAGCCUCCGGAUUGGCGCGCACCUCGGUGCCGCCGAGAAGUUGGCUAAACCUUACCAUUUAGAGGAAGGUUAAGUCGUAACA